RNAcentral lists this ribosomal RNA (326 nucleotides) under uncultured eukaryote. RNAcentral's name for it is "partial 18S ribosomal RNA". It matches the Rfam family "Eukaryotic small subunit ribosomal RNA", at positions 1470 to 1796 of the family's 1831-position model. The record is from RNAcentral.
CCCUUAGAUGUCCUGGGCCGCACGCGCGUUACACUGAUGCAUUCAACGAGCUUAUAACCUUGGCCGAGAGGCCUGGGCAAUCUUGUUAACGUGCAUCGUGAUAGGGAUAGAUUAUUGAAAUUAUUAAUCUUGAACGAGGAAUUCCUAGUAAACGCAGAUCAUCAAUCUGCAUUGAUUACGUCCCUGCCCUUUGUACACACCGCCCGUCGCACCUACCGAUUGAGUGAUCCGGUGAAUAAUUCGGACUGCAGUCGUGUUCAGUUCCUGAACGUGGCAGCGGAAAGUUUAGUGAACCUUAUCACUUAGAGGAAGGAGAAGUCGUAACA